UGUAUAGUGAGAACGUGUAGGCUCUAGGGUGAAGUAGCUGGUGGCACGGCAGGUCAGCGAGAUAGCUGAGCUACGUAGCAGUCUGGGAUUCAUUCAGAAGAGCUCCCAUGGGGGCUGUUGACUGGAAGGAGGCGCCACCUCUCCUUAUGAACUACAGCCGCAGCAGAAGCUGCCAGCGAAACCAUAAUCAGCUCUGUCGUCUGCUUUUCCUGCACUGCACAUUGGCUCUGAAGAAUUAGACUUGUGGAAGAGCCAAAUGAGCAGAUCAGCACAGGGAGGGCAUCCAACACUCGGGAGCCCACGCCUGUCCUGUCCUUGUCGACCCUGGUGCUCCGCUCUCAGCUCCUAAUGUGGCAGGAAAAGUGUGAACAUGGCCUUGGCAAACUGCAGUCCAGUCCACCAUCAUCACCACAGGCCAGUCAGGGGGAACUUGCACACUCCUCACACAGCUGGUUCUCUAACUCCUGCAAAGGAUUAACUCCUUGUACUUCUAAAUCCAGCCACAAGCUUUAAAGUAAUAAUUCCUGACAUAUUUCAACAUUUAGCAUUAAACAUUAUAGUUAAGCUAUACUUAAGUUCACUAUUGGUCUUUUAGGAGCAUGCUACGAAAAAAAUAUAUUAUUAAUGUUUUUUUCUAAACUGCUGUAAGUCAAGUGUUGACUAACAAGAAGACAAGUUGUGUUUACGUACAUAUAGAUAUGUCAAUGGUAUCUUCAAUCCUGAAUUUCAACAUCCAUGUUUUCUUGCUAGCUGCCUUCCCCCUCUCCUUGUUUUCUAUAAGACCUGCAGCAUAUGCAUUAGGUGUAUUUGGUCUUGUGAUUGUCUGGAUUUAUGUGCAGGCAAGUGUACAUGAAGAACAGAAGAUAAAUUGGGAGUGUUUAGAAAAAUACUCAUCAAAAGUUGCAUGGAUGCACUUCCAAAACUUCUGCAUUUUUAAAGUACAUUUUCAAAAUAC
This is a non-coding RNA of Labrus bergylta (ballan wrasse), 955 nucleotides long. NCBI's taxonomy places the organism in Eukaryota, Metazoa, Chordata, Actinopteri, Labriformes, Labridae. The record is from RefSeq and is a predicted model, not a curated record.